Molecule: ribosomal RNA, 465 nt
Filed under: uncultured bacterium
Lineage: Bacteria
Description: partial 16S ribosomal RNA
Rfam family: Bacterial small subunit ribosomal RNA
Source: RNAcentral
GAUGAACGCUGGCGGCGUGCUUAACACAUGCAAGUCGAACGGAAAGGACCCUGCUUGCAGGGGUACUCGAGUGGCGAACGGGUGAGUAACACGUGGGUGAUUUGCCCUGCACUUCGGGAUAAGCCUGGGAACCUGGGUCUAAUACCGGAUAGGACGAUGGUUUGGCUGCCAUUGUGGAAAGUGUUUCGGUGUGGGAUUAGCUCGCGGCCUAUCAGCUUGUUGGUGGGGUAAUGGCCUACCAAGGCGUCGACGGGUAACGGGCCUGAGAGGGUGUACGGCAACAGUGGGAAUGACAUACGGCCCGCACUCCUACGGGAGACUGCAGUGGGGAAGAUUGUACAAUGGGCGCAAGCCUCAUGCAGCAACGCCGCGUGGGGGAUGACGGCCUUCGGGUUGUAGACACCUUUCGCUAGGGACGAAGCGCAAGUGACUGUACCUGAAGAAGAAGCACCGGCUAACUACGUG